GAUGAAGAACGCAGCGAAAUGCGAUACGUAGUGUGAAUUGCAGAAUUCAGUGAAUCAUCGAAUCUUUGAACGCACAUUGCACCUCUCGGUAUUCCGGGAGGUAUGCCUGUUCGAGCGUCAUUUGUACCCUCAAGCUCUGCUUGGUGUUGGGUGUUUGUUCCGCCUCUGUGUGUGAACUCGCCUCAAAACAAUUGGCAGCCGGCGUACUUGUUUCGGAGCGCAGCACAUUUUGCGAUCCAGAUCAACGUACAGCGGCAUCCAAGAAGCCUUAUUUAACGCUCUUGACCUCGGAUCAGGUAGGGAUACCCGCUGAACUUAAGCAUACCAAUAAGCGGAGGA
RNAcentral lists this unclassified non-coding RNA (339 nucleotides) under soil metagenome. RNAcentral describes it as "partial contains 5.8S ribosomal RNA, internal transcribed spacer 2, and large subunit ribosomal RNA". The stretch from base 1 to 120 matches the Rfam family "5.8S ribosomal RNA", at positions 35 to 154 of the family's 154-position model. The record is from RNAcentral.